Molecule: non-coding RNA, 29 nt
Filed under: Rattus norvegicus (Norway rat)
Lineage: Eukaryota; Metazoa; Chordata; Mammalia; Rodentia; Muridae
Source: RNAcentral
UGGUAUGCUCGGCCGGUUACACAUUAACU